This 120-nucleotide microRNA precursor is filed under the name Glycine max (soybean). RNAcentral describes it as "MIR1520 microRNA precursor family". It matches the Rfam family "MIR1520 microRNA precursor family". The record is from Rfam by way of RNAcentral. Lineage: Eukaryota; Viridiplantae; Streptophyta; Magnoliopsida; Fabales; Fabaceae.
UUUUUAUUGGAUGAUGACUAUCACAUGUCAAGUUCUGAUUGGUUAAUAAAAACAACAAUGCAUUUCAUCUUUCAUGGAGUUGACAUCCAAUCAGAACAUGACAUAUGACAAUCAUCAUCC